This is a small nucleolar RNA of Ochotona princeps (American pika), 111 nucleotides long. Its record names the gene SNORA74. It matches the Rfam family "Small nucleolar RNA SNORA74". From Rfam's summary of the family: U19 belongs to the H/ACA class of snoRNAs. snoRNAs bind a number of proteins (including dyskerin, Gar1p and Nop10p in the case of the H/ACA class) to form snoRNP complexes. This class are thought to guide the sites of modification of uridines to pseudouridines by forming direct base pairing interactions with substrate RNAs. The record is from Ensembl. Lineage: Eukaryota; Metazoa; Chordata; Mammalia; Lagomorpha; Ochotonidae.
CCCAGCUGUAGGCAACCGACUAGGCUGUCCUGUACCUAGGCAAGUGGUACACUGCUGGGAGAAAAGCAGCCAGGAGCUGGCGGGCAUUCUGGGCCUGCUUCAUGCCAAAUU